This 440-nucleotide ribosomal RNA is filed under the name uncultured bacterium. RNAcentral's name for it is "partial 16S ribosomal RNA". It matches the Rfam family "Bacterial small subunit ribosomal RNA", at positions 338 to 795 of the family's 1533-position model. The record is from RNAcentral.
CCUACGGGUGGCAGCAGUGGGGAAUAUUGCACAAUGGGGGAAACCCUGAUGCAGCGACGCCGCGUGAGUGAUGAAGGACUUCGGGUUGUAAAGCUCUAUCUGCAGGGACGAAAAUGACGGUACCUGAGUAAGAAGCCACGGCUAACUACGUGCCAGCAGCCGCGGUAAUACGUAGGGGGCGAGCGUUAUCCGGAUUUACUGGGCGUAAAGGGAGCGUAGGCGGACUUUUAAGUGAGAUGUGAAAUGCUCGGGCUCAACCUGCGUACUGCACUUGAAACUGUACGGCUGGAGUGCAGGAGAGGUGAGUGGAAUUCCUAGUGUAGCGGUGAAAUGCGUAGAGAUUAGGAAGAACACCAGUGGCGAAGGCGGUUCACUGGACUGUAACUGACGUUGAGGCUCGAAAGCGUGGGGAGCAAACAGGAUUAGAUACCCUAGUAGUC